Molecule: long non-coding RNA, 649 nt
Filed under: Phoenix dactylifera (date palm)
Lineage: Eukaryota; Viridiplantae; Streptophyta; Magnoliopsida; Arecales; Arecaceae
Description: long non-coding RNA (PDAC_LNC019993)
Source: RNAcentral
UCGUUAUGCUUUAUGGAUGGUUUUUUACAUAUGUGUAAAAAAUGUAUAUUUAUUUAUUGUUGCAUUGCCGUAGCAUAUUCUAUUUUUCCAAUACUUGUCAAAUCAAGUGUGUUGUAUCCAUAUCGCCUUUGUGUAUGUCCAUGCUCCACAGCUCUUGUUUUAAUUCUUACAUUGGUUUUAGCAGGGGCGGCUCAAUACAUUCUGGGGCCUAAGGCGAAUCCAAUGAACGAGGCCUCUUUUUUUAAUAAUAUUUUUUUAAUAAAUAUAAAAUACUUAAAAAAUAUAUAAAAAUAGAUAGCUAUCAAGUACACUAUUUCAACAAAGAUACAUGAAUCUAACAAAGAUAGACAAGAAGUUCAAUUUAAUAUUAUUCUUGAAUGGAAGCACAUAAAAGUAAUUACUCUAAAUGAAGGGCCAUGAAACUGAUUAAAUAACCGAGAUAAUGCUUGGCAAUACAGUUUACCAUGUCAAGCAAGAGCCGAAUAGGAAAAGGUCAUCCCAUGGCACUUCAUGGUCAAGGUAAAUAAAAGAAUUUGUCCAUAAAGGAACAUCUCUAUAACAGAAAGUAGGGUCAUUAUGGGAAAUUCACUCCAUCUAAUUAAUAAAAGUCCCAUCCCACCAUCUCCCCUUCAAGUGAGUACCCAAGCGG